Molecule: ribosomal RNA, 401 nt
Filed under: Cedecea sp. COS224
Lineage: Bacteria; Pseudomonadati; Pseudomonadota; Gammaproteobacteria; Enterobacterales; Enterobacteriaceae
Description: bacterial SSU rRNA
Rfam family: Bacterial small subunit ribosomal RNA
Source: RNAcentral
CAGAACUUUCAGAGAUGGAUUGGUGCCUUCGGGAACUCUGAGACAGGUGCUGCAUGGCUGUCGUCAGCUCGUGUUGUGAAAUGUUGGGUUAAGUCCCGCAACGAGCGCAACCCUUAUCCUUUGUUGCCAGCGGUUCGGCCGGGAACUCAAAGGAGACUGCCAGUGAUAAACUGGAGGAAGGUGGGGAUGACGUCAAGUCAUCAUGGCCCUUACGAGUAGGGCUACACACGUGCUACAAUGGCGCAUACAAAGAGAAGCGACCUCGCGAGAGCAAGCGGACCUCAUAAAGUGCGUCGUAGUCCGGAUUGGAGUCUGCAACUCGACUCCAUGAAGUCGGAAUCGCUAGUAAUCGUAGAUCAGAAUGCUACGGUGAAUACGUUCCCGGGUCUUGUACACACCGA